RNAcentral lists this ribosomal RNA (429 nucleotides) under Gemmatimonadota bacterium. RNAcentral's name for it is "Gemmatimonadetes bacterium partial 16S ribosomal RNA". It matches the Rfam family "Bacterial small subunit ribosomal RNA", at positions 355 to 776 of the family's 1533-position model. The record is from RNAcentral. Lineage: Bacteria; Pseudomonadati; Gemmatimonadota.
UAGGGAAUCUUCGGCAAUGGACGAAAGUCUGACCGAGCAACGCCGCGUGAGUGAAGAAGGUUUUCGGAUCGUAAAACUCUGUUGUUAGAGAAGAACAAGGACGUUAGUAACUGAACGUCCCCUGACGGUAUCUAACCAGAAAGCCACGGCUAACUACGUGCCAGCAGCCGCGGUAAUACGUAGGUGGCAAGCGUUGUCCGGAUUUAUUGGGCGUAAAGCGAGCGCAGGCGGUUUCUUAAGUCUGAUGUGAAAGCCCCCGGCUCAACCGGGGAGGGUCAUUGGAAACUGGGGGGGUUGAGUGCAGAAGAGGGGAGGUGAAUUCCAUGUGUGGCGGUGAAGUGCGUAGAUAUAUGGAGGAACACCAGUGGCGAAGGCGGCUCUCUGGUCUGUAACUGACGCUGGGGCUCGAAAGCGUGGGGAGCAAACAGG